RNAcentral lists this ribosomal RNA (539 nucleotides) under uncultured bacterium. Its description in RNAcentral is "bacterial SSU rRNA". It matches the Rfam family "Bacterial small subunit ribosomal RNA", at positions 8 to 541 of the family's 1533-position model. The record is from RNAcentral.
AGAGUUUGAUCCUGGCUUAGAUUGAACGCUGGCGGCAUGCCUUACACAUGCAAGUCGAACGGCAGCACGGGUGCUUGCACCUGGUGGCGAGUGGCGAACGGGUGAGUAAUACAUCGGAACGUGUCCUGUAGUGGGGGAUAGCCCGGCGAAAGCCGGAUUAAUACCGCAUACGAUCUACGGAUGAAAGCGGGGGAUCUUCGGACCUCGCGCUAUAGGGGCGGCCGAUGGCGGAUUAGCUAGUUGGUGGGGUAAAGGCUCACCAAGGCGACGAUCCGUAGCUGGUCUGAGAGGACGACCAGCCACACUGGGACUGAGACACGGCCCAGACUCCUACCGGAGGCAGCAGUGGGGAAUUUUGGACAAUGGGCGAAAGCCUGAUCCAGCAAUGCCGCGUGUGUGAAGAAGGCCUUCGGGUUGUAAAGCACUUUUGUCCGGAAAGAAAUCCCUGGUCCUAAUAUGGCCGGGGGAUGACGGUACCGGAAGAAUAAGCACCGGCUAACUACGUGCCAGCAGCCGCGGUAAUACGUAGGGUGCAACGU